This 253-nucleotide ribosomal RNA is filed under the name uncultured bacterium. RNAcentral describes it as "partial 16S ribosomal RNA". It matches the Rfam family "Bacterial small subunit ribosomal RNA", at positions 524 to 776 of the family's 1533-position model. The record is from RNAcentral.
GACAGAGGGUGCAAACGUUGUUCGGAAUUACUGGGCGUAAAGCGUGCGCAGGCGGCCUUGCAAGUCGGGCGUGAAAUCCCACGGCUCAACCGUGGAAGUGCACUCGAAACUGCUUGGCUAGAGUCUUGGAGAGGAAGGCGGAAUGCUUGGUGUAGAGGUGAAAUUCGUAGAUAUCAAGCGGAACACCUGCGGCGAAGGCGGGUUGCUGGGCUGACACUGACGCUGAUGCGCGAAAGCCAGGGGAGCGAACGGG